GCACUGAUGGUAUAGGGGUGAGCAUGGCUGCCUUCCAAGAACUUGGCCCAGGUUCUAUUCCUGGUCAAAGCA
Molecule: transfer RNA, 72 nt
Filed under: Rattus norvegicus (Norway rat)
Lineage: Eukaryota; Metazoa; Chordata; Mammalia; Rodentia; Muridae
Rfam family: tRNA
About the family: Transfer RNA (tRNA) molecules are approximately 80 nucleotides in length.
Source: Rfam by way of RNAcentral